CUACCCCACACUAUAUAUAGCUAGCAUUCAUCCAUCCACCACAGCCACAAGGGCUCCCUGGACACUCUCACACACUCCACGCAUCCAUACUAGUUAGCAAGCUAGCUAGCUAGCGCACACACAUAUCCAUUCGGCCAAGCACACACACAUAUCCAUUUGGCCAAGCACACACUUGUGCUCAUACGCAUAUAUACCAAGUCAGAUGCCUAUGGCACUGACUUCAGAUACAGCUCCAGGAGCACCUUGUACUGCCCGAUGUACACCUCAGAUAUAUACUUAGACAUGUAGGAGUAGGGGUAUUAUCUCUCCGGAGAGCCCCGAACCUGGGUAAACUAGCGCGUGCUACUCGCAUACCCGCUCCCGGUCCUAUCAGCAGCAGUCUUACCCUCACACUAAGCCCUUGUGGCAUCUGUCGCCUCACACCCUCCCCCGUGAGAAUACCACGACAGUUGGCGCCCACCGUGGGGUGGUACUACUACUAUGCUACCACGCUGCUGCUGGUUUCGCAGUCCGGGCGGGACCAUCUUCGCCAUCACCGCCGCGGCAUCGCGCUGUCUCUCCGGUAGCGCUCGGGGGCUCGACUUCGACCCGCCCCCGGAGCGGCAGCGCGGGACGGCAUGUCCUCAUCGUCGGCCUCGCCGCCUUCGUCAUCACCACCGUUGCGACGCCGGCCAUCUGACCGCGCGCGCGGGGCCUCGCUUCGGUCGGCCGUGUUCAUCCACGCGCCGCUUGCAUCCGCUCCCCUCCGCGCUGCGCCUUGCUCUGGCCGGAACGCGCUUUCGCUCCUCCACAUGCCAUCUAUACAAGCUAGCUAGAUGCAAGUCAAACCAUAGUCAUAAACAUCCCAGAUAAUGCAUGUACACAAGUCAGAUAUUCCUUAUACAACACACAGAUAAUGGCCGUACGCGGCUUGCCUCCGCUCGCCUCCGCCCACGCGUACGCGCUGCCGUCCCGGCUCGCCUCCGCGCCGCCAACUGCUACUGCUGCCCAGGCCCACACCACGGCUUCCCGACGGUGCAUGGCCCCUCUGCUCGCUCCUGUCCCUCGCCAGAUGCACGCGCAGGAGCGGCCUCUGCUCUUCUUCGCUCGAGCCGAACUGCGUCGCUAAUGCGCCUCUGCUCCGCGGCUCCCCUCCGUGGCCGCCCUCGGGUCCGCUCGUGGCCGGGCCGCCUGCGCCGUUGCCCUCUCGCGCGCAGGGCCCCUGCCGCGCGGCUACGCGCUCCAGGCCGCGCCGGGCCGCUCGCCCCGACCCCCGCUGCGUUGCGCGGACGCCGCCUGGGGCCUCGCGCGCGCUCGGCCGCGGCCGGCUGCCCGGGCGCCUUCGUCCCCACGCGCCGCUCCGGCUCCCGCGGCUGCGCGCGUGCCGGCUGCUGGCUGGCCGGUCCCCCACCGUCGCGUCACCUCUGGCUGCGCCCGUGUGCCGGCCCGUAUCCGCGUCGCGGCGCCGCCUCCUCCUUCGCACACGGCCUCCGCGCCCGGCCGACUGCCGGCUCCCGCGCCGCUGCAGAGCCCCACGCCGGCCUCGCUCUCUCGUGCGCCGACCCGCGGUCGGGUGCCCCUCGCCGGCUUGCCGCGGCCGGCUCCGGCUCGUGCCUCGACCCGUCCGGCUGACUCCACUUCCGUAAGACGGCGGCCGGGUUCUCCGCCCCCGUGCCGACUUCUCCACGCGCGCUGGCUGCGCCUCGCCUCCGCUCCAGUCGGCUGCCGGGUCCGGCUCCUCCCGCGUCGCCGCACCAGGUCCGGCUCCUGCAUCGCCUCGCCUUCCUGCAUGUCGACUCCGCCCCGCGUGCCGCGCCUCCCGCGCUCGGCCGGGUCACCGUGCGCCCGCUAGCCGGCUCCUCCAGGUCGCCUCCCCGCGCCCGGCCCGGGCCGGCUCGCCGCCUCCGCUCCUCCGGCUCCGCCUCCGCCCAGCUGCGCCUCGCGCGCUCGGCUUGGUGCGCCCGCGACCCGGCCCUGGCCGGCUCCGCCACUCGGCCCCGCCUCGCCGGCUAUAGCUCCCGUUGCGAGCGCCGUGGCCGGCUGUGCCCCGUCGGGUCCCCGCUCCGGCCGUCUGCUGUGGCCGACACCUGAAAAAAAAGCUGAAGAAAGAAAGGGGCUGGGUGCCCAUCAGGCUAGAGAAAAGAAAGAAGAGGCCGGCUGCUGCGCUCCCACUUCGGCCGCCUGCUGCGGUUGCGUGCCCGAAGAAGAAAAGAAAAAGAAAAGCUAGAUGAGGUCGGGUGCUCGGGGAAAAUAAAAGAGGCCGAGUGCCCAAUCCGGCUGAGAAGAGGCCGAGUGCCCAAUCUGGCUGAGAAGUGGCCGAGUGCCCAAAAGAAAGAAAAAGUGACUGGGUGAGAUGGCCGGCUGCCCGAGAUUCGGCUGGAAUAAAAGAAAAGAUGAAAGAAAUGUGCGUCCGACUGCCAGAUGUGCGUCCAAUCGCUGGCUGCCUGGCCGGCUGCAAAAAUCCCGACUGAUGUGUCGGAGUCCGCCUGCCCAGCCAGCUGAAGAAGGAAAAGAAGAAGACAAAGUAGUCGCCAGGAGAUCCGGCCUGACUGCUCAACAGUCGGCCCGAAUCUUGGGGGCUACACUCAGCGGGUGCGCUGACGCGCCCCCGCGAAGAAGAAGACAAAGUAGUUGCCGGGAGAUCCAGUCCGACUGCUCAGUAGUCGACCCGAAUCUCGGGGGCUACACCCAGCGGGUGCGCUUACGCGCCCCCGCGAAGAAGAAGAAGACAAAGUAGUCGCUGGGAGAUCCGGCCCGACUGCUCAGCAGUCGGCCCGAAUCUCGGGGGCUACACCCAGCGGGUGCGCUGACGCGCCCCCGUGAAGAAAAAGACAAAGUAGUUGCCGGGAGAUCCGGCCCAACUGCUCAGCAGUCGGCCCGAAUCUCAGGGGCUACACCCAGCGGGUGCGCUGACGCGCCCCCGCGAAGAAGAAGACAAAGUAGCUGCUGGAAGAUCCGGCCCGACUGCUCAGCAGUCGGCCCGAAUCUCGGGGGCUACACCCAGUGGGUGCGCUGGCGCGCCCCCAUGGAAGAUUGCAGACAAGAGAAGAGUUCUGUCCGGCUCCCAGCAGCCGGUAGAAGAGAAAAGAAAGAAAAGGGCGCUGCCAUACGCCUCGCCACCUGGCCGGCUGUGCCAGGCCGGCUCGGCCGCGUUCUGCUUGCCGCCUGGCCGGUCAGGCCCGACCGGCUGGACCCUCCUCGAGCGCCUAGAGGCUGGAGGGCUACACCCAGCGGGUGCGCUGACGCGCCCCCGCGAAGAGGAAAACAAAGUAGUUGCCGGAAGAUCCGGCCCGACUGCUCAGCAGUCGACCCGAAUCUCGGGGGCUACACCCAGCGGGUGCGCUGACGUGCCCCCGCGAGGAGAGAAGACAAAGUCGUUGCCGGAAGAUCCGGCCCGACUGCUCAGCAGUCGGCCCAAAUCUUGGGGGCUACACCCAGUGGGUGCGCUGGCGCGCCCCCACGGAAGAUUGCAGACAAGAGAAGAGUUAUGUCCGGCUCCCAGCAGCCGGUAGAAGAGAAAAGAAAGAAAAGGGCGCUGCCAGACGCCUCGCCGCCUGGCCGGCUGUGCCAGGACGGCUCGGCCGCGUUCUGCUUGCCGCCUGGCCGGUCAGGCCCGACCGGCUGGACCCUCCUCGAGCACCUCGAGGGCUACACCCAGCGGGUGCGCUGACGUGCCCCCGCAAAGAAGAAGACAAAGUAGUUGCCGGAAGAUCCGGCCCGACUGCUCAGCAGUCGACCCGAAUCUCGGGGGCUACACCUAGCGGGUGCGCUGACGCGCCCCCGCGAGGAAAGAAGACAAAGUCGUUGCCGGAAGAUCCGGCCCGACUGCUUAGCAGUCGGCCCGAAUCUCGGGGGCUACACCUAGUGGGUGCGCUGGCGCGCCCCCACGGAAGAUUGCUAGAAACAAAAACAAGAGAAGAAAGAAGAAAAAGGGCGCUGCCCGACGCCUCGCCACCCAGAGCGGCUGUGCCUGGCCGGCUCAGCUGCAUUCUGCUUGCCGCCUGGCCGGUCAGGCCCGGCCGGCUGGACCCUCCUUGAGCUCCUAGAGGCUCGAGGGCUACACCCAGCGGGUGCGCUAACGCGCCCCCCCCAAAAAAGACAAAGUAGUCGCCGGGAGAUCCGGCCCGACUGCUUAGCAGUUGGCCCGAAUCUCGGGGGCUACAUAGAGUGGGUGCGCUGGCGCGCCCCCACAGAAGAUUGCAAGAAACAAAAACAAGAGAAGAAAGAAGAAAAGGGGCGCUGCCAGACGCCUCACCACCUGGCCGGCUGUGCCAGGCCGGCUUGGCUGCGUUCUGCUUGCCGCCUGGCCGGUCAGGCCCGACCAGCUGGACCCUCCUCGAGCGCCUAGAGGCUCGAGGGCUACACCCAGCGGGUGCGCUGACGCGCUCCGCGAGCGCCGGCUGUCUUCAACGACCUCCGCCUCGGCUACACGAAAAUCAAUGUGAGCUCCCCACCCGCAUAUUUUUUCACCGCGAGAGCACGGAUAACCCUGAGCGAUGCUCGGGGGCUAUCUCCGCAUUUUAUUAUAGUUGCAACACUGUUCGCCCCCGCGCCAGCCAGAGUUGGCCCGGGGGCUGGCCGCUUGGCCUGAGACGUUAGUUCCCGCAGACGGCUUAGUAGCGUGCACGGUACCAAAGGCCCACUCUUAGUCACAGACCGCAGAGCGGCUGUCUGGCUAGCAAGAGUGAACGCUGGAGGCCACCCACGCGAAAAACGUCCAGGAAGAGAAACGCUUCGGGCGACCCGACCGUUUCCUUUACAAGUAUCAACUCGGUUGAAUUCGCUCCCAGAAUCUAAGUAUUGUACACUCCACUCCGCGGCCCACUCUCAGCCACAGACCGCAGAGCGGCUGUCCGGCAAGCGAGAGCAAGCCAAAGAGUGGAGGGAACAUGAAAGAGAUUGAAGGGGGCUCGGAUGAAACCGAGUCGGCACCCUCCGCAUAAAACUUGCAGUGCUAAAAGCAAUCAUUUGAUAUAUCUGCGUGGACUAACUUUGUCUUUUGCAUCAUCAUUUCCAUGAAACACCCGCCAAAAAACCUCCGCCCAACUUUGCCAAGUUGCCCGGAGGCUUGGGGGCUACUGUCGGAGUAAUUGGCCACGGAUACCCCGAAGACGGCGAGACAAUAAUUCAAGACAUCGGGGCUAGCAAAGCCCCUCAGUCCGACUGCUCGGCUGCUCCUGCCGGCUCCCCGUGCGACUACUCUGCCCGGCCAGCUGCCGGCUGCCGACUGCGCCAAUCAACCGGCUGCCGACUGCAGCCCGACCCGACACCGACAAGACCCCGACGUGGCGGCCAUACCGCGGACAAGACGGCUGUACCGCGACGACAUCAUCUACAGUGUAUCUGUCCCUGGGCACUGUUUUAUAAAGUGCGCCAGGGACAAGGAGGCAUGCACAUCACGUACAUGGGCAUGGUGCCCCAUGCCCACUUGUCCCCCACGCCACUACCUAGCUUAGGUAGUAAGCUACCCCACACUAUAUAUAGCUAGCAUUCAUCCAUCCACCACAGCCACAAGGGCUCCCUGGACACUCUCACACACUCCACGCAUGCAUACUAGUUAGCAAGCAAGCUAGCUAGCACACACACAUAUCCAUUCGGCCAAGCACACACUUGUGCUCAUACGCAUAUAUACCAAGUCAGAUGCCUAUGGCACUGACUUCAGAUACAGCUCCAGGAGCACCUUGUACUGCCCGAUGUACACCUCAGAUAUAUACUUAGACAUGCAGGAGUAGGGGUAUUAUCUCUCCGGAGAGCCCCGAACCUGGGUAAACUAGCGCGUGCUACUCGCAUACCCGCUCCGGGUCCUAUCAGCAGCAGUCUUACCCUCACACUAAGCCCUUGUGGCAUUUGUCGCCUCACACCCUCCCCCGUGAGAAUACCACGACACAACCUCCACCCUCUACGUGGCCAGCCUAUCCGAG
Molecule: long non-coding RNA, 5900 nt
Filed under: Triticum aestivum (bread wheat)
Lineage: Eukaryota; Viridiplantae; Streptophyta; Magnoliopsida; Poales; Poaceae
Description: long non-coding RNA (TAES_LNC008520)
Source: RNAcentral